CAUUAUACAGAAGCUUUGCCAGCUAAUCUCACAAACAUGUAGAAAUACGCUUAUCUAAUUUUAUUUCGGCAACAUGGAAUCUUGUGUUUAUAAAAAUUAUAUUUUGCUAGUAAUAGGGAUUCUCUUUCAGCAAACGAAGAAGCAAUGGAGAAGGUACCUAAAUUCAAAAGCAGGAGAGUAGAGGCAACCUUUUCCAGUUCAAUGAGAACACUACUUCAACUUUACUGUAUACUCUCAAUGGUGUGGGAAGCUUUUCUAUUGCUGUUUUUUAUAAAUGCAGCACUCGAGAAGUUUUCAAAGGGAUGAAAUACAAGAGGCUGAAGGUCAUAAGCUAGUGGUUCUAUAAUGGAUGGAUAAGGCUUUCGAAUGUUAUGAAGGAGAUGAGGAGCUGCCUAUCAUCACUGACAUGGGCACAUGGCUAUUGUAAAAUUGGUACAACAAGACUACCUUCGGCAAGGAUAUAUACACUACAGAUAUAUAUAUUUAUUGCAAAUAUCAAGUAUGAAUAUCAAGUAUCAAGUAACAAUAUCAAGUACCUUGAGAAAUAUCAAGUAACAAUAUCAAGAGCUGUAAAUUAGUUACCACCUCCUCGCUAACACUUCUCUGAUCACUAAUAAUCCAUACCCAAAUGCCCUCUGCACCAACCCACUACACUAUAUAUAUGCAGAGAACUCAAAAUGUACGUACUAGACAACGCGCAACCAUUCUUGAUCAUUUAACGGAAUCACAAACUUAAUAACACCAGACUUAUGCAGGGGUGCUUGCACAAUAAACCAAACUUAAUAAAAUCCAAACUACAGAGCAUAAGAAAAUCAAAACCUUAACUGAUACACCCAGAAAAUCCAUGCAUAGGCAUUUUACAAACACAAACACAAACUAAUUUACUAUACUUAACACAAACAAAAACACAAACACAAACUAAUUUACACAAAAUCUCAUAAAACAGAUCAAACAACUAAGACAACUAAAAUAGAGCCGGAUU
Molecule: long non-coding RNA, 982 nt
Filed under: Daucus carota (carrot)
Lineage: Eukaryota; Viridiplantae; Streptophyta; Magnoliopsida; Apiales; Apiaceae
Description: long non-coding RNA (DCAR_LNC002744)
Source: RNAcentral